This 650-nucleotide ribosomal RNA is filed under the name Glomeromycotina sp. RNAcentral describes it as "eukaryotic LSU rRNA". It matches the Rfam family "Eukaryotic large subunit ribosomal RNA", at positions 75 to 627 of the family's 3401-position model. The record is from RNAcentral. Lineage: Eukaryota; Fungi; Glomeromycota.
AUCCCUUAAGAACGGCGAGUGGACUGGGGAAGAGCUCAAAUUUUAAAUCACCUAGGUUACCUGGGCGAGUUGUAAUUUGAAGAAAGUGUUUUGAUGCUCUGGUUUUGUCUAAAUCCUUUGGGAUAAGGUAUCAUAGAGGGUGAGAAUCCCGUUCAUGAUUUAAACCCUGGGUGUCACCUAAUUCACUUUCUAAGAGUCGAGUUGUUUGGGAUUGCAGCUCAAAAUGGGUGGUAAAUUUCACCUAAGGCUAAAUAUGUGCAAGAGACCGAUAGCGAACAAGUACCGUGAGGGAAAGAUGAAAAGAACUUUGAAAAGAGAGUUAAAUAGUACGUGAAAUUGUUGAAAGGGAAACGAUUGAAGUCAGUCAUGCUUGCAGGGAAUCAGCAUGGUGGUUUAUUCUUCCUUGUGCACUUUCUUGCUUGGCAGGUUAGCAUCAAUUUCGAUUGUCAUUAAAGAAUUGGGGGAAUGUGGCUUCUUCGGGAGUGUUAUAGACCCUGGUAGAUGUGGCGAUCGGGAUUGAGGAUUGCAGCGAAUGCUUUUUGGCUAGUCACCUGGUUUCUGAUAGUCGCCUUGCUUCCGAUAGCUUGCUAAUGGUGGUGAGACUCGAUUGUCUAGAAGUUAGAGGUGAUCAUAAAUUCGCUAAGGAUGCG